This is a long non-coding RNA of Betta splendens (Siamese fighting fish), 3604 nucleotides long. The record is from Ensembl. NCBI's taxonomy places the organism in Eukaryota, Metazoa, Chordata, Actinopteri, Anabantiformes, Osphronemidae.
CUCACACAUUUUUAUCACCCCCUAUAAAGUAUCUGAGUAUUUGUAACUUCCUAUAGGAAUUUGUUAAACUCCUAAAAACCCAUUGGUGUCACUAAAGCAGUUUUAACUGCAGUCUUCUAGACAGAGGUCUCAGAUGUUGUUCCUGGGAUCUGCAUUCUGACAUAGUUCCCAGAGCUCAGAGAAGAAAUUUAGUGGGAGGCAGGACCUGAGGUGCUGAAGGUCAAGUCUCUCGAAGGACUUCAUUACAAUGGAAGUAACUGCAGUGGGUCUUUAUUCAUUCAAGCUACUUAUGGCUGCUUUCCUUGGGACUGGGAAAAUUAUAGUUGCUUCCAGUACCUAAUUGCAGGGAGGUGUUAGAAACCCUAAUUAGUUCCCCUUGGUCUGUACACACUUCAAACUCUUUGUGCCUGACAUUCCACUACUGUUACAUUUACACUCAGGUCUUGAUGAUUUAUUAUGGGUACAACGAUUUCACUGAAGAAACAAAAAAAUGUGUCAGAGCUUCUGCUGAUGUUGUGUUUUAUCAUUUCAGUCCAACAGGUGGAGGUAGAAUCAGGGGAGGAUUUUGUCCUGCUGCCUUGUGAAGCCAAAGACCUGCCUGAAGACAUCAGAGUAGAGUGGAAGGACAGAAAAAGCAGGAAGGUCCAUGUUUAUCAGAACGGUUUUAAUCUGGCUGGAGAACAACACAAUAUUUACAAAAGACGAACAGAGUUGAAGAGAAACCAGCUGGUACCUGGAGACGUCAGUCUGAGUCUGAAGAACCCAACAGAGGAAGACACAGGAUUCUUCACCUGCAUCGUUUACAACAGGGAGGGAAACAUUCUGAUGAAGAAACAGGUGGAGCUGAAUGUCAAAGUCCAACAGGUGGAGGUGGAGUCAGGGGAGGAGUCUGUCCUGCUGCCUUGUGAAACCCUAGACCUGCCUGAAGACAUCAGAGUAGAGUGGAGGAACAAAGCAAACAGGAGGGUCCAUGUGUAUCACACCGGUUCUGAUCAGCCUGGAGAACAACACAGUUUUUACAGCGGACGAACAGAGAUGCAGAGAAACCCUGUGAAACCUGGAGACGUCAGUCUGAGUCUGAAGAACCUAACAGAGGAAGACACAGACACCUUUACCUGCACCGUCUUCAACAAGGAGGGAAACAUCCUGAUGAAGAAACAGGUGGAGCUGGAGGUCAAAGGUCAGUUUAAGUCUAGGGUCAGUUGUUACAAUUGGUCACAAAAUAAUUUGCAAAUCUCAUCAAUCCACAUUUGGUUCAUAGAACAUAACCAUGUUAGCUUUUGAACCUGAGACCUUAGAUCAAAUAUGAAUGAAUGCCCUCAAAAAACAAAUGUUUCAUAUGAAACUUAAUUUCUUAGACGCUUUACAUUUAAAUUCUCAUAUGCAAAAAUAUUAGCUUUAAAAUGAAAGGCUUUUUUGUGUUUUUCAACUGUACUUGCAUGUAAUAUAAAAUGCAUGCUGGGAGUUUGGUAGCAAAGAGCAUGGUAAGUGUUUGCUAAGAUUCUACUGUACAUAUUGAGUGUGGACUGUGGUUGUAGUUUUUGUACAAAGCACGAUAAAAAUGAGAAAACACAGCUUUACAUGUUCUCUUUCUCCCUGGAUCUAAUUCUGUGUAAAUUUGAACUGAAUGUUAAUGGACAAUAUUAACUGCAUUAGAGCUGGUUACAAACAAAUGAUUUUCAUAUAAUGUAAUCCUCUAAAUUGUAUUACAACAUUCAUUUAAACACUAAAUUGUACAUUGGAUGUUAAAACUAAAAGAAGCAAGACUCAGUAGGAGAAAGACCACUCUUCAAAAUAAUACAUGAGGAGAGUGGACAGCUGUUUGGAAGCUGAAAAAUGAAGUUGGUGCUUAGAUAAAAAACUAAAACAACUGACUCCAUGUUAAAACAAACACAGCAAAUACUUUGUGAAGUCAACAAUUAAGGACUUACUUUUCACUACAUGUGGCACUUACUCUAGAUCAGGAAUCACCACAGCAAAUGAUUCUGUGGCUAGAUUUAAACUCAAUAUUUGUGUCACGAGGACAAUGCGCUGCAACUGCGUUAAACGCCCAGGCUUAAAUCAUAAAUAUGAUAGACUGAAACAUGCAUAAGCUUCCUUUUGGUGAACCGCAGGAGACAUCCAGCUCAUAGUUAUUCUCUUCAGCACAGAUUCAACAUAAAGGGAGAACCAGGAAAUGAAAUGAAAACUUUAAAAUGACUUUGGUUCUGACCAGAAACAAGAGCUGGUCCCUCCCUUUUCCAUGAUGUUCAAAUUGUGUUUUGUGAAACUGUUACAUGUUGUAUGCUCCCUUACUCAUUAAUACAUACAUACACAUACAUACUGUACAUAUAGCACUGAGAAUGAUCAUUGCACUCUUGGUACCAAGAUAUUACAAAAACGUUGAACAUCUCAUGAUCCUCCAGUAUGAACAAAGCUGGUGUUGAGUUUAUGAAAGAGCAGAAAUGUUCAGCUUUGUAAGUGAAGUUCUCAUGACAGACAUGCUAUUUGUAAUUUUUCUUUAGCAGUGUACAGUAUGUUUUACAAAGAUAAAGGUCAGUUACAUAGAAGUUCUGACUGUCUUCUGUCUCCUCUGCAGAGAGAACUCGGGGUCCAGAUGAACCAGUGGAUGUAAGAGACAGUGGCAGCCCCACUGCUUCCACUCCUCUGAUGGCGGAUCAGUUGGUCUGAUCUUCAGUCUCUGGUCUGUUGCUCUGUCAAAAGUUGUCUGACUCAUUUCUACGCUCUGAUAAUUGAGAGUUGAGUGACUCAUUCUCAUCAGAUGUAGCAGUUAAUGACAGUCACAGAGCAGAGAUGGUGUCUCAUAUCUCUCUGCAUGUACUGUAUGGCCAAAAGAAACAGUUCUCUGUCAGUGAUACUGUCCUGUCUGUACCUUAAUGUCCCAUUUGUCAUGUAGUUCUUUUAACACAGUGAUCUUGUGCUUUUCUGGCAACACCAGUUGUUUUCUGUGGACUGUAUGUCUCCACAAAUUGUCAUUCUCAUCUGUCUCCAGCUUUUCCCAUUCAUAAACAAGACAAAGACUUUGAACACUGAAGUUUUUCUGUUCUUUUUGCAAUAGUUUCCCUCCUGACAAUUUACUCCGCAACACUGGCCCUAUGUGUACAUGUCUCUGAUCCUGUUGUAGCUGUUCUGGUGUUAUCAAAGCAAUGAUCGUGUCUGUGGCAUCAAGCACACCAUCAACAGAGAUGGCCAUUGAUUCUAGCUGUGUCUCUACAGCCUGAGCAGGAGCUCCCACUGCAUCAUAAGACAUUUCUUCUGUGCACUCAUUCAUUAGUUCCUCUACAUUCAUGGGCAUUCUAGACAGACUAUCAGCAUCAAUGUUCUCUUUUCCAGGAUGAUAUUUAAUAGUAAAGUUAGCUAACUCAGCUACCCAUCGACUUCCUGUAGCAUUCAGCUUAGCAGUGAAGAAAAUGGUUGGGUGAAAUCUGGGAAUACUAAUGCCAAGUCCUUAAUGUACUGGUGAUAGUAGCUAAAAACUCCAGGUUCAACACCCUUAUGGCAGCAGUGUCAGCAGGAUCCAUCUUAUUCCUUCAGCCGAUACUACUCUUCCACUUUUUACUUUUGACUAAUUCAAUAAAAUUUGCUUGCCUUUAAUUUGAUUCCA